Biomphalaria pfeifferi is the source of this 388-nucleotide non-coding RNA. The record is from the annotation of a GenBank genome assembly. Lineage: Eukaryota; Metazoa; Mollusca; Gastropoda; Planorbidae.
AUAUAUUCAUGUUGUUUUUUUUUUUGUUAUGUUUUUUAAACUAAAUUUGCCUUACAUUGUGUAUUAUCUCUCCAGAAAAUGUUAAGCAAUAACUGUACAUUUUAACAAAUAAGAACUUAAAGAAAAAAAAAAAGUUAUUCUGUAAUAUUUAGCUAAUGUAGCAAAAGAAGAGAGAUGAUAUAGGAUUGUAGUAGAAAUGUUGACAUUUUAUAAAUACUUACCAGCAUCAGAGAAUGUUAAUUUAGUUUAUUUUGACAAAAUAUUCUUCAAUCAUUUGGUCUCCUCUGUGUUAGGUAGCCUAUUGUCUGUGUGAAGACUAAAUAUAAAUUGUAAAUAUAUAAAUAUAUGUAAAUGUGAUGAUCAUUAUAUUCAUGCUGUCUGUUAUUAG